RNAcentral lists this ribosomal RNA (643 nucleotides) under uncultured Gammaproteobacteria bacterium. RNAcentral describes it as "bacterial SSU rRNA". It matches the Rfam family "Bacterial small subunit ribosomal RNA", at positions 31 to 655 of the family's 1533-position model. The record is from RNAcentral. Lineage: Bacteria; Pseudomonadati; Pseudomonadota; Gammaproteobacteria.
AGACGCUGGCGGAGGCCUAGACAUGCAAUGUCGAACGGUACGACACUAGCUUGCUAGUGGGCGACGAGUGGCGGACGGGUGAGUAACGCGUAGUGAAUCUACCUAGUAGUGGGGGAUAGCCAAGGGAAACUUUGGGUAAUACCUGCAUACGAUCUAAGGAUGAAAGGGGGCCUCUCUUUGAAGCUCUCGCUAUUAGAUGAGCCUGCGUAAGAUUAGCUUGUUGGUGAGGUAAUGGCUCACCAAGGCGACGAUCUUUAGCUGGUCUGAGAGGAUGAUCAGUCACACUGGAACUGAGACACGGUCCAGACUCCUACGGGAGGCAGCAGUCGGGAAUAUUGGACAAUGGGGGAAACCCUGAUCCAGCCAUGCCGCGUGUGUGAAGAAGGCCCUAGGGUUGUAAAGCACUUCUAGUAGUGAGGAAGGCUCAGCAGUUAAUACCUGCUGGGAUUGACGUUCGCUCCAGAAAAAGACCGGCUAACUUCGUGACAGCAGCCCGCGGCAACUACCGCAACAGGUGCCAAGCGUCCAUCCGGAAUCACUGGGGCCGUAACGCGCGCGUACGACGGGCAGGGAAAGAUGCGCGUCGACAGCCCGGGCUCAAACAGGGAACCGCAUCCACAACUGCCAGCCAGAAGCAGGGAGA